CACUGAUUGGCUCAGUUGGUAGAGCAUGGGACUCUUGAUCUCAGAGUUGUGAGUUUGAGCCUCAUGUUGAUGG
RNAcentral lists this transfer RNA (73 nucleotides) under Canis lupus familiaris (dog). It matches the Rfam family "tRNA". From Rfam's summary of the family: Transfer RNA (tRNA) molecules are approximately 80 nucleotides in length. Their secondary structure includes four short double-helical elements and three loops (D, anti-codon, and T loops). Further hydrogen bonds mediate the characteristic L-shaped molecular structure. tRNAs have two regions of fundamental functional importance: the anti-codon, which is responsible for specific mRNA codon recognition, and the 3' end, to which the tRNAs corresponding amino acid is attached (by aminoacyl-tRNA synthetases). tRNAs cope with the degeneracy of the genetic code in two manners: having more than one tRNA (with a specific anti-codon) for a particular amino acid; and 'wobble' base-pairing, i.e. permitting non-standard base-pairing at the 3rd anti-codon position. The record is from Rfam by way of RNAcentral. RNAcentral also lists the same sequence under 2 other names. Lineage: Eukaryota; Metazoa; Chordata; Mammalia; Carnivora; Canidae.